UACAGAGGGUGCGAGCGUUGUCCGGAAUCACUGGGCGUAAAGGGCGCGUAGGUGGCGCAACAAGUCAGUGGUGAAAGCUCGACGCUCAACGUCGAGUCGGCCACUGAGACUGUUGGGCUUGAGCACUGUAGAGGCUAAUGGAAUUCCGGGUGUAGCGGUGGAAUGCGUAGAGAUCCGGAAGAACACCGGUGGCGAAGGCGGUUGGCUGGGCAGUUGCUGACACUGAGGCGCGACAGCGUGGGGAGCAAACAGG
RNAcentral lists this ribosomal RNA (253 nucleotides) under uncultured bacterium. RNAcentral's name for it is "partial 16S ribosomal RNA". It matches the Rfam family "Bacterial small subunit ribosomal RNA", at positions 524 to 776 of the family's 1533-position model. The record is from RNAcentral.